RNAcentral lists this ribosomal RNA (605 nucleotides) under uncultured bacterium. RNAcentral's name for it is "bacterial SSU rRNA". It matches the Rfam family "Bacterial small subunit ribosomal RNA", at positions 118 to 719 of the family's 1533-position model. The record is from RNAcentral.
UAGGAAUCUGCCUGGUAGUGGGGGAUAACGUCCGGAAACGGACGCUAAUACCGCAUACGUCCUACGGGAGAAAGCAGGGGACCUUCGGGCCUUGCGCUAUCAGAUGAGCCUAGGUCGGAUUAGCUAGUUGGUGGGGUAAUGGCUCACCAAGGCGACGAUCCGUAACUGGUCUGAGAGGAUGAUCAGUCACACUGGAACUGAGACACGGUCCAGACUCCUACGGGAGGCAGCAGUGGGGAAUAUUGGACAAUGGGCGAAAGCCUGAUCCAGCCAUGCCGCGUGUGUGAAGAAGGUCUUCGGAUUGUAAAGCACUUUAAGUUGGGAGGAAGGGCAGUAAAUUAAUACCUUGCUGUUUUGACGUUACCGACAGAAUAAGCACCGGCUAACUCUGUGCCAGCAGCCGCGGUAAUACAGAGGGUGCAAGCGUUAAUCGGAAUUACUGGGCGUAAAGCGCGCGUAGGUGGUUCGUUAAGUUGGAUGUGAAAUCCCCGGGCUCAACCUGGGAACUGCAUUCAAAACUGACGAGCUAGAGUAUGGUAGAGGGUGGUGGAAUUUCCUGUGUAGCGGUGAAAUGCGUAGAUAUAGGAAGGAACACCAGUGGCGAA